AUACAUACAGCAGCUGACCCAAAGGUUUACUGCAGGAACCCAUCAGAAAACAAAGGAAAGUCAUAAAUUGGUGCAAUCCUUGCACUGAAGUAACCUGGGACGUAGAGACCUUUUACCCUUCACAUGGGGCUGUAGCAGAGAAGACUCAAAGAUAAUCUGUCACACGAAAUUCCAUCUCACCUCAACACCUCAAGGUGACGUUACCACUAAUCUUGACCAUAGAAAUGUACUCCAUGGAUAGAGCUUCAUCUUACAGUCAUUUGAAAACUGACUAUUCCAAAGUCUGGGGUUUUGUGUGCAAUUAAUUGUAAGAAGAAGAUGAUGUUCCUGACUCAAGACUUUGUCUUGAACCUUUCAAUUACCUGAACUUAUUGACAGUGGGAUUAAAAAGUCUGAAAUUUUCCUUAGAAAUGCGAAUGUUGGAAGAAAGUUUCUUUGCAAAUUCCUGCUGUCUGAAUUUCCAAAAUAGUGCCGGUCCAACAGGUUGUGGGCCUUCAAGAUGGCAGAUAUGUUUCUGCCAUUUGGAAUACUGCCAUAUCUGCUAUUACUUUAGGCAACUUUCCAGUUCAUUGGCAUCAAUAACUCUAAUAUGUUUGAAGGUUAGCCAGCUGGCUCUAAGGCAUUUUGUCCCUGCAAGUCAUCCUACCUCCACUUCUGAUGCUAAAAGAUAUUGAUACAAAGCACCAGCACACUGCUAAACAUGAUACCACCCAUGUGUGCACUUCCAUCCCUCUCCAUGGCCAUUAAACCUUGAGCAGGAUGAGCAGCUGGACCCUGCCUCGGGCACCCCUCAGGGCAGAUCAACAUACCACAGCAGAAGCUGUAAGGGCUCCUCAUUGAAGCUUCCCACUCAAAAAAAAAAAAAAUCCCAGAUGAUAACUUUGGACAUAACCGUGGUCAAAAAACAAGUUCAGCUUUUUACCCUUUGCUGACCCAGUCUUAUCACUCCAGCAUGCACCUGAAAAUACUGUAAUUGUUUUUUUUCUCUCUACAUCUAUCUUUCCUACAAUUAAAUGGCAUAUCUUUGAUAAA
Molecule: non-coding RNA, 1032 nt
Organism: Taeniopygia guttata (zebra finch)
Lineage: Eukaryota; Metazoa; Chordata; Aves; Passeriformes; Estrildidae
Source: RefSeq, a predicted model, not a curated record